RNAcentral lists this ribosomal RNA (480 nucleotides) under uncultured bacterium. RNAcentral describes it as "partial 16S ribosomal RNA". It matches the Rfam family "Bacterial small subunit ribosomal RNA", at positions 29 to 507 of the family's 1533-position model. The record is from RNAcentral.
AUGAACGCUGGCGGCGUGCUUAACACAUGCAAGUCGAACGAAGCACUUUAUUUGAUUUCCUUCGGGACUGAUUAUUUUGUGACUGAGUGGCGGACGGGUGAGUAACGCGUGGGUAACCUGCCUCGUACAGGGGGAUAACAGUUGGAAACGGCUGCUAAUACCGCAUAAGCGCACGGCAUCGCAUGAUGCAGUGUGAAAAACUCCGGUGGUAUAAGAUGGACCCGCGUUGGAUUAGCUAGUUGGUGAGGUAACGGCCCACCAAGGCGACGAUCCAUAGCCGACCUGAGAGGGUGACCGGCCACAUUGGGACUGAGACACGGCCCAAACUCCUACGGGAGGCAGCAGUGGGGAAUAUUGCACAAUGGGCGAAAGCCUGAUGCAGCGACGCCGCGUGAGCGAAGAAGUAUUUCGGUAUGUAAAGCUCUAUCAGCAGGGAAGAUAAUGACGGUACCUGACUAAGAAGCACCGGCUAAAUACGUG